Molecule: ribosomal RNA, 420 nt
Filed under: uncultured bacterium
Lineage: Bacteria
Description: bacterial SSU rRNA
Rfam family: Bacterial small subunit ribosomal RNA
Source: RNAcentral
GAAUAUUGGACAAUGGGGGAAACCCUGAUCCAGCCAUCCCGCGUGCAGGAUGACGGCCCUCUGGGUUGUAAACUGCUUUUAUUAGGGAAGAAACCUUCGGAUUUAUCCGAAGCUGACGGUACCUAAAGAAUCAGCACCGGCUCACCCCGUGCCAGCAGCCGCGGUAAUACGGAGGGUGCAAGCGUUAUCCGGAUUUACUGGGUUUAAAGGGUCCGCAGGCGGGUUCUUAAGUCAGUGGUGAAAGCCUGGAGCUCAACUCCGGAAUUGCCAUUGAUACUGGGAACCUUGAGUACUGUUGAGGUGGGCGGAAUGGGUCAUGUAGCGGUGAAAUGCUUAGAUAUGACCCAGAACACCGAUUGCGAAGGCAGCUCACUAAACAGUAACUGACGCUCAGGGACGAAAGCGUGGGGAGCGAACAGG